GUGCAGUGGCGGGAUCUCGGCUCACUGCAAGUUCUGCCUCCCAGGUUCACGCCAUUCUCCGGCCUCAGCCUCCCGAGUAGCUGGGAUUACAGGCACCUGCCACCACGCCCGGCUAAUUUUUUGUAUUUUUAGUAGAGAUGGGGUUUCACCGUGUCAGCCAGGAUGGUCUCAAUCUCCUGACCUUGUGAUCUCCCGCCUCGGCCUCCCAAAGUGCUGGGAUUACAGGCGUGAGCCACCGCGCCCUGCCGUUUCAUGGAUUAUUUAUUUAUUUAUUUAUUUAGAGACGGAGUCUCGCUCUUUCGCCCAGGCUGGAGUGCAGUGGCGCGAUCUCGGCUCACUGCAAGCCAUGGAAUAUUUUUUAACCUUUUUUUUUUUUUAGCCCACGCUUCUUUCUGCUAAACCUAAAAAUGUUGUGAACAAACCUCCCACAUGCAGUAUUUUGACAAGAGGUAUGAUCUUCAUCACUGUAAUUUGACAAUCACUGAUAUGUAAAUUACAUUCUCCCUUCACCAGCCCAGAAUAUUUUGCUCAGCUAACCUUAUUUUAGCUUUCCUUCAGGAAAUCAGUAGAAAGUUUAUAUUUCCUGGGGCCAGGCGCAGUGGCUCAUGCCUGUCAUCCCAGCACUUUGGAAGGCUGAGGCGGGUGGAUCACGAGGUCAGGAGUUCGAGACCAUCCUGGCCAACAUGGUGAAACCCCGAAAAAAAGAAAAAAAAAUACAAAAAUUAGUUGGGUGUGGUGGUGCAUGCACCUGUAAUCCCAGCUACUUGGGAGGCUGAAGCAGGAGAAUCGCUUGAACCCGGGAGGCGGAGGUUGCAGUGAGCCGAGAUCGUGCCACUGCACUCCAGCCUGGGCAACAGAGCAAGACUCCAUCUCAAAAAAAAAAGAAGAAAGUUUAUAUUUCCUAAAUAUAAUGUUGUUCAAGGCCAGGUGUGAUGGCUUAUUGGGAGGCCAAGGCGGCGAGAGGAUCACUUGAACCCAGGAGUUCAAGACUAGCCUGGGAAACAGAGGGAAACCUCCUCUCUACCAAAAAAAUAAAAUAAAAUAAACAGGUGUGGUGGACCGCAUCUGUAGUCCUAGCUGCUUGGGAGGAUCCCUUAAGCCCAGGAAUUCUAGGCUGCAGCCACCCAUGACCAUGUCAGUGCACUCCAGCCUGGGUGACAAAGCAAGAUCUUGUCUCUAAAAUAUAUUUAAACUCCUGAUUGGACACGGUGGCUCACGCCUGUAAUCCCAGCACUUUGGGAGGCUGAGGCAGGUGGAUCACCUGAGGUCAGGAGUUCGAGACCAGCCUGACCAACACGGUGAAACCCCAUCUCUACUAAAAAUACAAAAAAUUAGCUGGGCGUGGUGGCUCACGCCUGUAAUCCCAGCACCUUGGGAGGCCGAGGUGGGUGGAUCACCUGAGGUCAGGAGUUUGAGACCAGCCUGACCAACCUGGUGAAACCCCGUCUCUACUAAAACUACAAAAAAUUAGCUGGGUGUGGUGGCACAUGUCUGUAAUCCCAGCUACUCAGGAGGCUUGUCUAUAUGUUGGUCUGUUUCUCCUUUUUUUUUUUUUUUUUUUUUUUUUAAAUACAGGGUCUCACUUAGCCCUCCAGGCUGGAGUGCAGUGGUACAAUCAUAGCUCACUUCAACCUUGACCUCCUGGGCUCCUAAGUAGCUGGGACUACAGGUGCACACCACCACGCCCGGCUAUAUUUCUUCUUUUAAUGGCUACAGAGUAUUCCAUAGUUGGAACAUACUGUAAAUUACUUAUUCUAUUCCUUUUUUUAUUUUUUGGGACAGAGUCUCACUCUGUCACCCAGGCUGGCGUGCAGUGGCGCUAUCUCGGCUAACUGCAACCUCUGCCUCCCAGGUUCAAGCGAUUCUCCUGUCUCAGCCUCCUGAGUAGCUGGGAUUACAGGUGCGUGCCAUCACACCUGGCUAAUUUUUGUGUUUUUAGUAGAGUUGGGGUUUCGCCAUGUUGGCCAGGCUGGUCUCGAACUCCUGACGUCAAGUGAUCCACCCACCUCGGCCUCCCAAAGUGCUGGGAUUACAGGUGUGAGCCACCACACCCAGCCCUAUUUAUUCUAUUCCUAAAUAUUUGGGUUGUUUCUAAUUUUUUGCUAUUAUAAACAAUAUUAUAUAUAUAUAUAUAUAUAUAUAUAUAUUUUUUUUUUUUUUUUUUUUUUUGAGACGGAGUCUCGUUCUGUUGCCCAGGCUGGAGUGCAGUGGCACACUCUCAGCUCACUGCAACCUCCACCUCUGGGUUCAAGCGAUUCUCCUGCCUCAGCCUCCUGAGUAGCUGGGAUUACAGGCGCACGGCACCACACCCAGCUAAUUUUUGUAUCCCAAAGUGCUAGGAUUACAGGCGUAAGCCACUGCGCCUGGCCUAAUCCUAUAUUACUUUAAUUCUACCAGCACUGUAAAAAAGUGCUUACGUCCUUAUAUACUUAGGCACAGUGGAUAUUUUCCGUCUUUUCCAUAUUCACUGAUAAAGUUGUGUGUGUGUGUGUUAUUUUGAGAGACAGGGUCUCGCUCUGUCACCCAGGCUGGAGUGCAAUGGCAGGAUCAUGGCUCACUGAAGCCUCCAACUCCUGGGCUCAAGGGAUCCUCCCACCUCUGCUUCCCAUGUAGCCAGGACUGCAGGCACAUGCUACCGCACCUGGAUAAUUUUUAAAUGUUUUUGUAGAGGGUCUUGUUACGCUGCCCAGGCUGGUCUCGAAUUCCUGGUCUCAAGUGAUCCUCGUGCCUCAUCUCCGAAAGCACUGGGAUUACAGGCAUCGCGCUCGGCCUACUUAUAAAGUUUUCAAUGGGCCUUUUUAUAUUUCUUCUGUGUAUUUCUAGUUUGUAUCAUUUGAAAAAUUCUUUUGGAUCAUUUUUUUUUCUUUUUUCUUUUUUCUUUUUUUUUUUUUUGAGGCGGAGUCUCUCUCUGUCCGCCAGGCUGGAGUGCAGCGGCGCGAUCUCGGCUCACUGCAAGCUCUGCCUCCCGGGUUCACACCAUUCUCCUGCCUCAGCCUCCCGAGUAGCUGAGACGACAGGCGCCCGCCACCUCACCCAGCUAAUUUUUUUGUAUUUUUAGUAGAGACAGGGUUUCACCGUGUUAGCCAGGAUGGUCUCGAUCUCCUGACCUCGUGAUCCACCCGCCUCGGCCUCCCAAAGUGCUGGCUAAUCAUUUCUGCGGUUUUCCUUGUCCUUGUUUUCCUCACAAGUGUGACAUGCUUGCCACAGACAAAAUGUAGUAGGUCUGAAGCCCAGCGUGGUGGCUCAUGCCUGUAAUCUCAGCAUUUGAGGAGGCAAGGUGGGAGGCUCGCUUGAGGCCAGGAGUUUGAGACCAGCCCGGGCAACAGAGUGAGGAACACACCCCCACCUUUGUUCUUCUGACACAGUGUCUCCGUCUGCCACUCAGGCUGGAGUGCCUGGUACAGUCACAGCUCACUACAGGCUCAACCUGAGGUGAUCUCGCACCUCAGCCUCCUAAGUGCCUGGGGCUACGGGCACGCAACAUCACAACAAGUUUUUUUUUGUUUUUUUUUUUUUUUGUAGAGACGGGAUUUCACCACGUUGCCCAGGCUGGUCUGGAACUCCUGGCCUCAAGCGAUCCGCCCACCUUGGCCUCCCGAGGUGCUGGAUUUACAGGAGUGAGCCACUGUGCCCAGCCAGCCCUUAAAUAUUUUUGAAACCUGAGUUUAGAAAUGUUUGCUUUUAGAUAGGUGUGACUAUCUGCAAACAAGCCAGAUUUUGCAUUUUUAGCAAAAGAAACAUGUAUGUGAAAGUGCUUUGAAAAAUACACAGCAAUACAUAAAAGCAGCACUCCAUCAUCGGUUCCUUGUGUAAAUUACGGUUUUUACCGGCAGGAAUCAGAGCGGAGUCUCCCGUGUAGCAUGCAGCUGCGGUCGCUGUUUGUAGAAACCAUGGGUUUGGGGUGUGGCUGUGCUUCCCGGCCUCACAGUUUGCUCUUGCAAAGAAUCUUAAGAUAAAACCAAGGAAGCUGCCGUCUGGAGUCGGGCUAAGGCCACCUAGGGAAUCUGUAAUCCAGCAGGUGCUUGUUGAGAAGUUUAACAGCAGGGGGCUAUGCCUUGAGGAUCCGGUAUAAAGAACAAGAAUCCCCUGCCUGUGCCGAGCACACAGUUUAACGUUUUGAAAAUAGGAUGUCAUUUAAUUCUCCCAGCCAUCCUGGAGGGUAGAGGCAGGAACCGCCAUUUUACUGGGGAAGGAGGCAAAGUGUUUUCUCCAGGUCACACAGCUUCCAGGUGGUGGAGCGUGGACUGGAACUCAGGUUCUCGGAUCCCAACUCCAAUGCGCUAUGCAGUGGCUGCCUCCCAGGCAGACGGCCCCUACCGUCAGGGGCAUGUGGUCUGCCAGAGAAACGCACACACACAUAUCAGCUCAGGGCUACACUGAUCAGGCAAACAAAGUGAAGGAGAAAUGAAGAGCAGGGUGAUUGACUUCUUUCUGGCCACACUCAAAGUCCUAAGAGCAAGUCAGCUCAUUCUCUGAACCGUAUUUCUUCAGACGCAGUGUGGCUUUUGUUGCCAAAGAGAAUGAAGUUCCGCAGAAGGCUGUUGUUCUCCUCUUUGGACACCUCCUUCCUUUCUUUCCGUGUCUGACCUUUUCCUCGUGUUCUGUUGUUGUGCCAAUCUUUAGAUCUUCAUCUCUAUGUCUAUCUUCCUGUAUCAAAGUGUAUACUGGCGUUGUGUGUGUGUGUGUGUGUGUGUGUGUGUGUGUGUGUGUGUGUGUGUGUUGAGACAGGAUCUCACUCUGUUACCCAGGCUGGAGUACAGUGCUGUGAUGAUGGCCCACUGCAGCCUCAACCUCCCGGGCUCAAGCAAUCUUCCCACUUCAGCCUCCCGAGUAGCUGGGACUACAGCCACACGCCACCACACCCGGCUAAUUAGUGUAUUUUUUUGUUUUACCAUGUCGCCCAGGCUGGUCUCUAACUCUCGGGCUCGAGUAAUCCUCCGGCCUCAGCCUCCUAAAGUGCUGGGAUAAUAGGCAGGAGCCAACUCCGGGGCUCAAGUGAUCCUCCCGCCUCGGCCUCCUAAAGUGCCGGGAUAAUAGGCAGGAGCCACCUCCUGGGCUCAAGUGAUCCUCCCGCCUCGGCCUCCUAAAGUGCCGGGAUAAUAGGCAGGAGCCACCUCCUGGGCUCAAGUGAUCCUCCCGCCUCGGCCUCCUAAAGUGCCGGGAUAAUAGGCAGGAGCCAACUCCGGGGCUCAAGUGAUCCUCCCGCCUCGGCCUCCUAAAGUGCCGGGAUAAUAGGCAGGAGCCACCUCCUGGGCUCAAGUGAUCCUCCCGCCUCGGCCUCCUAAAGUGCCGGGAUAAUAGGCAGGAGCCAACUCCGGGGCUCAAGUGAUCCUCCCGCCUCGGCCUCCUAAAGUGCCGGGAUAAUAGGCAGGAGCCACCUCCUGGGCUCAAGUGAUCCUCCCGCCUCGGCCUCCUAAAGUGCCGGGAUAAUAGGCAGGAGCCAACUCCGGGGCUCAAGUGAUCCUCCCGCCUCGGCCUCCUAAAGUGCUGGGAUAAUAGGCAGGAGCCACCGUGCCCACGUGCCCACCCCCUGUGCCGUAUCUUUCUAUGUCUCUUCCUAUUUCUUCAUUCUCCUUUUGUCCUUCCUGCCCUCUCUCUGCUUCAAUGGUCCCUACUGUGGAAAUGAAGUAUGGGUCUACACAAAGUAACUUUUACUUCAGAACAGAUGUCCAUUUUCUCUGUUAGGGUAUUUAUUUAUUUAUUUGAGACAGGUUCUUGCUCUGUCGCCCAGACUGCAGUACAGUGGCACAAUCUGGGAUCAUUGCAACCUCUGUCUCCCAGGCUCAAGCAGUCCUCCCAUCUCGGCCUCCUGCGUAACUGGGACUACAGUUACUGGGGUGGGUUCCACCCAUCUGGCUUUUUUUUUUUUUUUUUUUGAGAGACAGGGUUUUGCCAUGUUGUCCAGGCUGGUCUCCAACUCCUGGGCUCAAGUGAUCCACCCACCUUGGACGGAUCCCAAAGUGCUGGGAUUACCGUUGUGAGCUGCUGUGCCCAGGCUGUGUUAGGAUUUUUAAAGUGGAUGAGCGGACAGAGACCCCUAAGUUCCCUUUUGGUUCGGGAGCUCACUACGUGGAGGCGCUUCACGUGUGAUCUCACUUCUUUCUCAUGUACAUGAUUUUCCCAGAUAGGAGGAAAAGGUCCUCGAUCAAGGGUAGUUGCCCACACAUCACAUAUCUUAAUGGCAUUCACUUGAGAACUCACAAAGUAUUUUACAAGUAAAUACGGUAUUUUCCAUUUAAGGCUGAAGAAACCAGGAAACAGAUAUGGGGAGAGUCCCUGUGUCCUAUUCCUUAAUGAUAGCGAGUGGGGUCCAGAGGAAUGGGGGAGAGGAGAUGGAAAGGCAGGCCCACAUGCUUUCAUGGCAGAAAAAUCCCUCCGUAGCCCUUUAGAAUGGGGAGCUUUAUAAAUUCUCUGUUCAAGGGGGCGACAGUCUACAUUUGGUAAGUGAGUUUUACGUUGGCAUUAAGUAGCCCAAAUUUCACUCUGGAAACCCACACAAGCAGUGUAAUGACAAACUGGUGAAACCCAGCCCCACAGCCUGGAGUAGUGGAAAUUACCCUGGAACAGGUUCUAACCUGAGCCUUGUCCCUUCACAGGGUGGUGAGUCAGCGGCCCAUCCUGCACUUCGCUUUCUUCAUGUGUAACAUGGAAAUAACAGGUUUAGCCAACCUCACUGGGUUAUUUUGAGACCCAGGUGAGCUACUACACGUGAAAGUGCUUUGAAAAUUUGUAAAGUUACAUAUAAACAGAGAAUACUGUUCAUGGCAGCAUCAGAGCCCAUCAAUUCACCAUACAAAUUUAUGAGUAAAUAAUUAGGAACAGUAUUCAUCAGAAACUAUAUUGUGAAAGAUUAUUAUUCCCUCCUUGCUUAUCAGGCUUGAAGGCAGUAUAGUCAUCCGGCACAUGGAACUAAAGGCAGAAAGUACUGAGUUUGAAUCCCAGCUCGCCACCAGCAGUGUGACCUGGGGCGAUUUUUAAAUUGCUCUGGUCUGAGUCUCAUUUUGCUGAUACACACAAACACACACACACACACACACACACAGAGUGAGAAUAACAUCUGUUGUGAGGAUUUAAUGAGACAAUGUAGACAAAACAUCUGACAUAGGACCUAGCAAACAGUAAGUACUCAACAGGUAUGAGCUUUGGAAAGUAUGAAACAUGUAUUGCACCCUCAGAAUGUGCCAGCCUCACUUGGGGUACAAAAUGAAAAGACACAGUCCUUGUUUCUAGGACCUAACAGUCUGGUGGAGAAACAUACAAAUGAGAAAACAACAGCCUCGUUACCCAAACCCAAAGGCAGACCUGGAAACCUUCUUAGAGAAGGAAACAGCUGAUUCGAGACUUUUGAAGGAUGAGGGGAAGUUUGUGUAAACCAGGCCCCGUGUUUUUCAUUUGGCCUUACCAUUUGCCGACAGGGGUUUGAUCGCUUGAAAAGCUAAGGUUCAUGUUUCUGCUUGUUAGCUUUAUGGUGAUUCAACAUAAACAGUCUGGUGACUUCACUGAGCAUGGUGUUGAAACUGAUCUUACUUGCUAUUUUCUUUUUUCUUUUUUUUUUUUUUAUUUGAGACAGAGUCUUGCUCUGUUGCCCAGGAUGGAGUGCAGUGGCACGAUCUUGGCUCACUGCAACCUUCGCCUCCCGGGUUCAUGCCAUUCUCCUGCCUCAGCCUCCCGAGUAGCUGGGACUACAGGCGCCCGCCACCACGCCCGGCUAACUUUUUGUAUUUUUAGUAGAGGCCGGGUUUCACCAUGUUAGCCAGGAUGGUUUCGAUCUCCUGACCUCGUGAUCCGCCCGCCUCGGCCUCCCAAAGUGCUGGGAUGACAGGCAUGAGCCACUGCGCCCGGCCUUUACUUGCUAUUUUCUAUACAUGAAACAUCGGUUGUUUUGUUUUCAACUCAUAAAGAUGCCUUACAGCUUCUUGUGUAGGGGAGACUGGUUCCCACCACUCAAAGGUGCCAGCAUACUCACUGCCAAGCUGCUGCUCCCUUUAAGGAGGGAAGGCAGGGAGGACUUGUAACCACCUGUCACUCUCUGGAAACACUGGCGCUGGAGGUCACUGUGAUAAAUGCUUAGGAAAGAGACAGUGGACUGCACAGAGUCGUUUUCCUGGAGAGAAUGGAGAGUUCACAGGUAGCUGGUUUUGUCCACAAGCGAAUGUGAAAAUAAAGAGAGCGUCGCAUUUGUCAGAUAUCUUGGGACCAACCUGAAGUGGCUUUCUCCUUUCACUGAGUAUGUCAGCAGUGAAUUUGGGAGUUAGAGAUGUUGCCCUAAGUGGACGAAGUUUGAGGCUUUUCUUGAGGCUGUCUGCCACCGUCCUGUUGGCUAAGUCCCUUUUCUUAACCACAUAUAGGAAGAUGUUAGAGGCUACAUUCAUUCCAAAAGGUCACAGCCUAGUAACUGAUACUACCACUGAAGGAAAACUAUCUUUUAAACCUGAGAAACAUCUUCAGACUCCAUCAUGAAUGAAUCCAAAUUGAAAAAAACAAAAGCUGUGCUCACUCUACACCAGUUCCUACAUCACUAACUGCCGUGUUAAAGUAAUUUAACUGGCACCUAACAGAAAUCAUCUGCCACUUUGUAAAAGUCAUAGACUCAUAAGAAUCUAGAGCUGGAAGACCGUUAAAGAGCUAGUGAUCCAGCCUCCCUCUCAUUUCACGGACCAGCAAAUCGUGGCCCAGAGAGCCGAGCCCAGCUGUUCCGAAGUCCUCAUACGGGAUUUUGGUCAGCAUUUUGCAUGACGGUGAUCUGAGGAGACCCGUCAUACCUUUCAUUUGUAGUAACAUAAAUGAACUGUAUUUCCCACCCCCUACGUUUGUUAGCUGAGGAAGAUACAGACCAAAGCAAAAUAAAGCUGGUAGUUCCUAAAGGACAGAAGCCAAUGAUACUGAAAUUCCUGUCUUCAUCCAUGUGAUUGGUGCUUGGCACAAAUGAAAUGUAUUCCAAUUCAUUCAAGUUUAGACGCCUGUCCCGAUAACUGUUUUUUUGUUUGUUUGUUUGUUUGUUUUUUGAGACAGAGUCCUGCUCUGUGGCCCAGGCUGGAGUGCAGUGGCGUGAUCUCGGCUCACUGCAACCUCUGCCUCCCAGGUUCAAGCGAUUCUCCUGCCUCAGCCUCCAGAGUAGCUGGGACUACAGACAGGCACCACCACACCUGGCUAAUUUUGUAUUUUUAGUAGAGACGGGGUUUCACCGUGGUGGUCAGGCUGGUCUCGAACUCCUGACGUCAAGUGAUCUGCCCGCCUCGGCCUCCCCAAGUGCUGGGGUUACAGGCGCGCCCGACCCCGAUACUUUUAAAUAACGACACGUUGUGAACAACACCACAGUCCCUACGCCUCUGGAUGGUGUCUCCGGAUAGAUCCAAAGCCGAGAGGCAGUAAGAGCCUGCAGCCUCCACAGUCCGCCUCCUGGUGCAGGUGGAGAGGGGCUGCUGGAGGCCCCCGGACCUCACGCUUCCUGAGGGCCACCCCGGAGCGGCUGCAGCCGCUGGCGGCACCGGGAAAAGCAUCUCGGCCGUGCGGGGAGAGGCCACAUCCUGAGGCCUCCCACCGAGAAGCACCAGGGCUUGGUGGACGGGGCCCGCGAACCCAGGGCCACACGCCGCCUCCCUCCUUCCUUCCCCGCGGGCCUCGCCCCACCCCGGAGGGGGUUCCUACCUGGCUUCCUCGGCCCCGCGCCCACCCCGCCCCUUCGCCCGGGGCCGGCGAGAAGAGCAGGUCGGGGAGGGGCGCGUCCGCUGACGGAACAGAAGCCGGGAGCCGCGGCCCUUCCCGCCUCCGCCUGGGCCCCGCGGC
RNAcentral lists this long non-coding RNA (9786 nucleotides) under Homo sapiens (human). Its description in RNAcentral is "HSALNT0387964". The stretch from base 1335 to 1451 matches the Rfam family "Metazoan signal recognition particle RNA". The record is from RNAcentral. Lineage: Eukaryota; Metazoa; Chordata; Mammalia; Primates; Hominidae.